This 73-nucleotide transfer RNA is filed under the name Ferrimicrobium acidiphilum. RNAcentral's name for it is "tRNA-Arg". It matches the Rfam family "tRNA". Rfam says of the family: Transfer RNA (tRNA) molecules are approximately 80 nucleotides in length. Their secondary structure includes four short double-helical elements and three loops (D, anti-codon, and T loops). Further hydrogen bonds mediate the characteristic L-shaped molecular structure. tRNAs have two regions of fundamental functional importance: the anti-codon, which is responsible for specific mRNA codon recognition, and the 3' end, to which the tRNAs corresponding amino acid is attached (by aminoacyl-tRNA synthetases). tRNAs cope with the degeneracy of the genetic code in two manners: having more than one tRNA (with a specific anti-codon) for a particular amino acid; and 'wobble' base-pairing, i.e. permitting non-standard base-pairing at the 3rd anti-codon position. RNAcentral also lists the same sequence under 3 other names. Lineage: Bacteria; Bacillati; Actinomycetota; Acidimicrobiia; Acidimicrobiales; Acidimicrobiaceae. The record is from RNAcentral.
GCCCCUGUAGCUCAGCGGAUAGAGCAGCUGCCUUCUAAGCAGUCGGUCGUAGGUUCGAGUCCUACCGGGGGCG